This 380-nucleotide ribosomal RNA is filed under the name uncultured eukaryote. RNAcentral's name for it is "SSU rRNA". It matches the Rfam family "Eukaryotic small subunit ribosomal RNA", at positions 587 to 972 of the family's 1831-position model. The record is from RNAcentral.
AGCUCCAAUAGCGUAUAUUAAAGUUGUUGCAGUUAAAACGCUCGUAGUCGGAUUUCGGGGCGGCUUCGCCGGUCUGCCGUUGGGUAUGCACUGGCAGGGCCGUCCUUUCUCCCGGAGACUGCCCUUUAUCUUAACUGAUCGGGGGCGGGAGACGGGACUUUUACUUUGAAAAAUCAGAGUGUUUCAAGCAGGCAGCUCGCUCUUGCAUGGAUUAGCAUGGGAUAAUGAAAUAGGACUUUGGUGCUAUUUUGUUGGUUUCGAGUACCGAAGUAAUGAUUAACAGGGACAGUCAGGGGCACUCGUAUUCCGCCGAGAGAGGUGAAAUUCUUAGACCAGCGGAAGACGAACCACUGCGAAAGCAUUUGCCAGGGAUGUUUUCA